This 1153-nucleotide ribosomal RNA is filed under the name Trichodorus cedarus. Its description in RNAcentral is "SSU rRNA". It matches the Rfam family "Eukaryotic small subunit ribosomal RNA", at positions 39 to 1200 of the family's 1831-position model. The record is from RNAcentral. Lineage: Eukaryota; Metazoa; Nematoda; Enoplea; Triplonchida; Trichodoridae.
AAAGAUUAAGCCAUGCAUGUCUAUGCACACGCCCUUGAAUGGUGAAGCCGCGAAAAGCUCAUUACAACAGCCAUAGUCUAUUGGAUCUUUACGUUCCUACAAGGACAUCUGCGGUAAUUCUGGAGCUAAUACCUGCGAAAAACGACGACCUUACGGAAGUCGUGCAUUUGUUAGACUAAACCAAUCGGUCCCUCGGGACCGCCAUUUGGUGAACUCUGAAUAACUUAGCUGAUCGCACAGUCUCGUACUGGCGACGAAUCUUUCGAGUGUCUGCCUUAUCAACUUUCGAUGGUAGUUUACACGACUACCAUGGUUGUAACGGGUAACGGAGAAUAAGGGUUCGACUCCGGAGAGGGAGCCUGAGAAACGGCUACCACAUCCAAGGAAGGCAGCAGGCGCGCAAAUUACCCACUCUCAGAACGAGGAGGUAGUGACGAAAAAUAACGAGGUGGCUCUCUACGAGGUCCAUCAUCGGAAUGGGUACAAUUUAAAUCCUUUAACGAGGAUCUAUUGGAGGGCAAGUCUGGUGCCAGCAGCCGCGGUAAUUCUAGCUCCAAUAGCGUAUACUAAAGUUGUUGCGGUUAAAAAGCUCGUAGUUGGAUCUGCGCCCGGUGAAAGUGGUCGCCCGAUGGGUUGUUACUGCUUCUCCCGGGCUAACCAUUCGGUUUUCCCUUGAUGCUCUUCAUUGAGUGUCCUGGGUGACCGGAACGUUUACUUUGAAAAAAUUAGAGUGCUCAAAGCAGGCAAUUCGCCCGAAUAUUCGUGCGUGGAAUAAUAGAAGAGGUCCUGGUAGCCUUUUAUUGGUUAUCGCUAUGAGGAAAUGAUCGACGGGGACAGACGGGGGCAUUUGUAUUGCGACGUUAGAGGUGAAAUUCUUGGAUCGUCGCAAGACAAACUACUGCGAAAGCAUUUGCCAAGAAUGUUUUCAUCAAUCAAGAACGAAAGUCUGAGGUUCGACAGCGAUCAGAUACCGCUUUAGUUCAGACCGUAAACGAUGCCAUCUGGCGAUCCACCGGCGUUAUGUAUGACUCGGUGGGCAGCCACCGGUAAACCUUUAAGUCAGGUUCCGGGGGAAGUAUGGUUGCAAAGCUGAAACUUAAAGGAAUUGACGGAAGGGCACCACCAGGAGUGGAGCCUGCGGCUUAAUUUGACU